RNAcentral lists this unclassified non-coding RNA (214 nucleotides) under Hevea brasiliensis (rubber tree). The record is from RNAcentral. Lineage: Eukaryota; Viridiplantae; Streptophyta; Magnoliopsida; Malpighiales; Euphorbiaceae.
UUAUGUCCAUCAAGGAGAUGAGAUCGACGGUGCUAGAUGCAGCUGGGAUGUUUUCUGAGAGGCGAUUGUUCUUCGGAGGACCGUUGGAGGAAGGGUUGUUUUUAGUGAGCCCUAAAAGGGGCUAUGAUAAUGAUAUGGUGGCCAAGAGCGGGGUUUUUGAACAAGUAAUGAAAGGAUUAUACCAUGGGACUAAAGAGAGUGUUGGUUGUGCAAC